This 558-nucleotide ribosomal RNA is filed under the name uncultured archaeon. RNAcentral describes it as "bacterial SSU rRNA". It matches the Rfam family "Archaeal small subunit ribosomal RNA", at positions 314 to 879 of the family's 1478-position model. The record is from RNAcentral.
GAAUUCGCCCUUGGGUGCGCAGGCGCGAAAACUUUACAAUGCGGGAAACCGUGAUAAGGGAACUCCGAGUGCCCGUAAAAUCGGGCUGUCCAUCUGUUUAAAUAACAGGUGAAGAAAGGGCCGGGCAAGACCGGUGCCAGCCGCCGCGGUAAUACCGGCGGCUCGAGUGGUGGCCACUAUUACUGGGCUUAAAGCGUUCGUAGCUGGUCUGUUAAGUCUCUGGGGAAAUCUACUGGCUUAACCAAUAGGCGUUUCAGGGAUACUGGCAGACUAGGGACCGGGAGAGGUGAGGGGUACUCCAGGGGUAGGAGUGAAAUCCUGUAAUCCUUGGGGGACCACCUGUGGCGAAGGCGCCUCACCAGAACGGCUCCGACAGUGAGGGACGAAAGCUGGGGGAGCAAACCGGAUUAGAUACCCGGGUAGUCCCAGCCGUAAACGAUGCGCGUUAGGUGUAUCGGUGACCACGAGUCACCGAGGUGCCGAAGAGAAAUCGUGAAACGUGCCGCCUGGGAAGUACGGUCGCAAGGCUGAAACUUAAAGGAAUUGGCGGGGGAGCAC